GCGGGGGAAUGUUCGGCCGCGCCUGGGCGUGAGUUCAGGUGAGGAAAGUCCGGGCACCGCAGGGCAGGAUGCCAGCUAACGGCUGGUCGGCGAGUCAAGCGCCCACCGUGCGCGCCUGCGCGUGGGUGGCGGCGAAGCCGAAGGACAGUGCCACAGAAACCAGACCGCCACCUGCUGACGUUUCAGUACGCGGAGCCCCGGCGCGGGCGGGCAGGUGGUCAGGGUGAAACGGUGCGGUAAGAGCGCACCAGGCCCCCGGGAGACCGGGAGCGCUGGUAAACCCCAUCCGGUGCAAGACCCGACAGUGCGCGAGGGCGGCCCGCCCGUUGACCGCCAGGAUGGUCGCUUGAGGCGCGUGGCGACACGCGUCCCAGAGAGAUGGCCGAACAGUCACGCGAGUGGCGGACAGAACCCGGCUUACAGUUCCCCCGCACCA
Molecule: non-coding RNA, 436 nt
Rfam family: Bacterial RNase P class A
About the family: Ribonuclease P (RNase P) is a ubiquitous endoribonuclease, found in archaea, bacteria and eukarya as well as chloroplasts and mitochondria. Its best characterised activity is the generation of mature 5'-ends of tRNAs by cleaving the 5'-leader elements of precursor-tRNAs. Cellular RNase Ps are ribonucleoproteins.
Source: Rfam